UUUAUGGAGAGUUUGAUCCUGGCUCAGGAUGAACGCUGGCGGCGUGCCUAAUACAUGCAAGUCGAGCGAACGGACGAGAAGCUUGCUUCUCUGAUGUUAGCGGCGGACGGGUGAGUAACACGUGGAUAACCUACCUAUAAGACUGGGAUAACUUCGGGAAACCGGAGCUAAUACCGGAUAAUAUUUUGAACCGCAUGGUUCAAAAGUGAAAGACGGUCUUGCUGUCACUUAUAGAUGGAUCCGCGCUGCAUUAGCUAGUUGGUAAGGUAACGGCUUACCAAGGCAACGAUGCAUAGCCGACCUGAGAGGGUGAUCGGCCACACUGGAACUGAGACACGGUCCAGACUCCUACGGGAGGCAGCAGUAGGGAAUCUUCCGCAAUGGGCGAAAGCCUGACGGAGCAACGCCGCGUGAGUGAUGAAGGUCUUCGGAUCGUAAAACUCUGUUAUUAGGGAAGAACAUAUGUGUAAGUAACUGUGCACAUCUUGACGGUACCUAAUCAGAAAGCCACGGCUAACUACGUGCCAGCAGCCGCGGUAAUACGUAGGUGGCAAGCGUUAUCCGGAAUUAUUGGGCGUAAAGCGCGCGUAGGCGGUUUUUUAAGUCUGAUGUGAAAGCCCACGGCUCAACCGUGGAGGGUCAUUGGAAACUGGAAAACUUGAGUGCAGAAGAGGAAAGUGGAAUUCCAUGUGUAGCGGUGAAAUGCGCAGAGAUAUGGAGGAACACCAGUGGCGAAGGCGACUUUCUGGUCUGUAACUGACGCUGAUGUGCGAAAGCGUGGGGAUCAAACAGGAUUAGAUACCCUGGUAGUCCACGCCGUAAACGAUGAGUGCUAAGUGUUAGGGGGUUUCCGCCCCUUAGUGCUGCAGCUAACGCAUUAAGCACUCCGCCUGGGGAGUACGACCGCAAGGUUGAAACUCAAAGGAAUUGACGGGGACCCGCACAAGCGGUGGAGCAUGUGGUUUAAUUCGAAGCAACGCGAAGAACCUUACCAAAUCUUGACAUCCUUUGACAACUCUAGAGAUAGAGCCUUCCCCUUCGGGGGACAAAGUGACAGGUGGUGCAUGGUUGUCGUCAGCUCGUGUCGUGAGAUGUUGGGUUAAGUCCCGCAACGAGCGCAACCCUUAAGCUUAAUUGCCAUCAUUAAGUUGGGCACUCUAAGUUGACUGCCGGUGACAAACCGGAGGAAGGUGGGGAUGACGUCAA
RNAcentral lists this ribosomal RNA (1206 nucleotides) under Staphylococcus aureus. RNAcentral's name for it is "bacterial SSU rRNA". It matches the Rfam family "Bacterial small subunit ribosomal RNA", at positions 1 to 1188 of the family's 1533-position model. Lineage: Bacteria; Bacillati; Bacillota; Bacilli; Caryophanales; Staphylococcaceae. The record is from RNAcentral.